AAUAGAUACCCGGGUAGUCCUGGCUGUAAACAUUGGGCACUGGGUAGUGGAACCGCCGAUGGUUUCACUGCCGCAGGGAAACCGUGAAGUGCCCCGCCUGGGGAGUAUGGUCGCAAGGCUGAAACUACAAAGGAAUUGACGGGGGCUCACACAAGCAGUGGAGUAUGUGGCUUAAUUCGAGGCUACGCGAAGAACCUCACCUAGGCUUGACAUGCAGGAAUUAGCCGGCGGAAACGUCGGUGACGCCGCAAGGUGGAAUCUGCACAGGUGCUGCAUGGCUGUCGUCAGCUCGUGCCGUGAGGUGUUGGGUUAAGUCCCGUAACGAGCGAAACCCUUGUGUCCAGUUGCCAGCGCGUAAAGGCGGGGACUCUGGACAGACCGCCGGUAUUAAACCGGAGGAAGGCGGGGACGGACGUCAAGUCAUCAUGGCCCUUAUGCCUAGGGCUGCACACGUACUACAAUGGGCCGGACAAAGCGACGCGAGACCGCGAGGUGGAGCAAAUCGCGAAAAACCGUCCCCAGUUCAGAUUGCACU
This 535-nucleotide ribosomal RNA is filed under the name uncultured bacterium. Its description in RNAcentral is "bacterial SSU rRNA". It matches the Rfam family "Bacterial small subunit ribosomal RNA", at positions 777 to 1304 of the family's 1533-position model. The record is from RNAcentral.